GAUCUUCAGUAGUAGGAUUCCACCCCAGAUCAAGAAGGAUAGCAUGGCAAGCAGCAACCAUAUUCAAGCCAAGAUUUCCUGCCUUUAGCGACAUUACCAUUACAGUUACCUGCAAAAAAUUUUCAAUAAUUUUGAUGCUCAAUGCAUUCGCAGAUUAAGGCAGUAUGAAUAUCCAUCAUGCACAAUUUCAUUGAUUUGACAUAUUGCAGAAUUCGCCUGCAUAUUAUGAAGAAUACCUAACAAGGUACCCCUUCAAGCUUCAAAUAGACUUUUCAAUAACUAACUCCAUCAUAAAGAAAAGUAAAAAAAAACAUUCCAACUUCCAAGGCAUUGAAAAAUGUAAGAACCACACCACAGGAUCAGUGGUGAAAUCAUUAACAGCCCUGUCUCUAGCAGCCAAAGUCAUUGUGCCAUCAAGCCUCCUGUACUGUAUACAAUGCUGGUUCAAUGAAAUCUCAACCAAGUCCAACAUAAUAGUCCACUAUGAGAAAACAAUUGAUUUUAUUUGUCCUUCAGUUGACGAGCUUGAAUAAGCUGUUGAAGCUCCAUUGCAUCCUGUGGCAUGAUUUAGCUCUGGCGUUGGGCUCUUUACCUGACAAUGGGAUUGCAGAAUCUCCAGAACAGCUCUAAUUUUUUAUGAGAUAUACUCAUGCUGUAGAACCAUCGAUUUAUUAUCAAAUUCAGGAUGCUUAGGACCAACAUCACGAUUAUCAGACACACAACUUUUAAGAGUAGCUUCAGAGAAAACAACAUCAGAACCGAGUUGUUCUUUACAGCCACGAGAAGGGCACGUAUUUUCAUCGCCUGUUAAGUAGUCUGACACACAUUGAUAGCAGAAAACAUGGCCGCAAAUGGUAACAACAGGGUCCUCAGGAGGAUCAUUGCAUGCGCGGCAGAUUGCAGAGGAAGUAGCCAAGCAUUUCAUUAGAUCAAUCACCAUAUCACUAGGAAGUCUCUUUGCCAUUUCUGCAGAAACUUUUCCAAACAAAUCAGAAUUAAAACUUUUGACAAGAAGAGGGCGGUCACAAGCCUGACGAAGUCGGAAAAGCAUCAAAAGAAUGUUUGCAUAGUUUUGGUUUACUGUGCCAGAAGCAGCACAAGCCUGCAAGAUACAAAUCUACAACUUUAUGUUGCAUAAGAAGUUAGCAUAGGGAAUAUUCAGUAGAGCUGAAUUCAACCUCACAAGACCACCAAAAGAACCUUAUUCUCAGCUGAAACUGAAACUGGAAGGAUGGCAGUGUUUCAAUACUUCAAAGAAUGAAUAUCAGUAUCAUAGAGCAAUGCAUGUCAGCUAGUAUCAGAAAAUGGUUCUUUGAAGUAGGCCUUUUUUUUUGAAGAAAAUAACUUAGUUAUGGAAAAUAUUCCCUGAUCAACAUUUUCUGAGAAAAUGAAUUGUUUUCCGCUAAUUUGGUUGUGACACUGGAAACUAUUUUCUGUUGUUUGAAGUGCAACAAAACAUGAACUAUUAGUUUCAGAGCCAUCACCAGCAUUUCUAGUGCCCAUUGAUGCUUACCUUUCCACAAAAGACGAGAUGAAAUAGCACAAAUUGUGCUUAUUUUCAACAACAUGCUGCUGGGACUGAGGAGACCAAACCACUCAGCUAAUGCUGGCCAUUCAAAAUUCUCCACAAGUACAAAUUUACAAAGAAUGAAAAGCACCUUGAAUUUAGAACGAGAAUCAGCUUCUAGCUGGGUAUAGAAAGCCCGCUCCUCCAUUGAGAAAUCUACCUUUGUCAAGCAUAUUGAUUUUGGGGGGUAACUUAAUUAUGGGCUCCCCAUCAAUUAAUGUUCCUAAAUCACACAAACUAAUGAUGAUCAACACCAAAAAGUAACUAAGACACAAUCAAGUAUUAGAAUUCCAUUUGUAAAGCCAUAGUCAAAUUCAUCAAUCAUCAGGACAUGUUUAAAGAGAAUUAACUAAAGGUGGGAAAGUUCAUCCACUAAUAUUUAGAAUCCCUUUGGAGAAACUCUAUUUACAAAUAUCCAAACUUACUUUGUAUCAACUAAACCUAUAAAGAGAUGUUAAAUCUGAAUACCUAUGAAUUGAAAUUCUGAAAAGUUUAAUUUUUGGAGAGGUUGGUUAUACACAAUUCACAAAGCAAAACCUCAUAAAUUUUAAUCUACACAUAGGCUUUCUUCACUUACAUAAUGCUUUCAUAGAAUCUCUUCAACACAAUUCAAAGUUUGGCACUAUAACCAUUCCAAUGAUUAAAUACAAAAAAGAGGGGUCAAGAAAACAUCCAAAACUGAGUCAAACACCAAGGAUCUAACAUGUAACUUUUAAGCUGAUAUAAAAAAUAUAUACAUGCACCACCCACCACCCAUGAACCUUUUCCUCAAUUCUCUCAUCUAAAUGUCAUAUAGAGAUCCCAGACUGAUAGAAUACUCCCAAGACUGGAAGAGACACCUUCCAUUACAAAAAGUAGAUGGAAGCAAAAAGUUAUUUAAUGUCUUUCCUAUCCUGAAGGCACUGUUUUUCAAAUGCCCAUUGCUGGAUGACAAUGGAUUAAAAAAGGGAGAUGCCAACAAUUGUAAAGUAAAAUAUUAAAAGAAAAAUGGAUACAACAAGAAAUUCAGGAAAAUCUACAAUGAACAAGUCAUGGUUGUAAUUAAAAAAGAGUGUUCUACCUACCUAUGUCUAAAAACCUAGAUGAUUAAAGGUCCAAAAGCAUAAACAAUUUCCAUGCAAAAAUGUGACAUCAGAACUCUUAGAUGCAACUAGGAGAAACACCUAAACAUAAAAUUAGAAUUCCUAAGAGUACCCAAGAGAAAAUGAGACUUUUGCUUUCAUUUCAAGGUAGUGCACUUCUAUUUUCUGCACAUAUAUCCUAACACAAAAUGGCUCACCAUUGGGAUGCAACAUCUAUGCAGAAGAAGAACUUGCAACAGAAAGUGCAAUAAGACUCCAGGAAGGAUAUUAAAAGAAAUAAUCUAUUUGGAAUCCAUAGAAUGGCUAAAAUCAUUUGAUGGCAUGUUCAACAUUUAAUACAUGCACAAAAAUGAUUGAAACCCAACAAACCACUGAAACAAAGGGAGAGAAAGCCAGCACCUUUUUUACGACACAGCAUUAUUGCUCUAAGAACUACUUGUAUUUUCUUGUAACCAUGGAGUGAAUUUCUAGAUAUUGGAACCAUUAUAGUGGUAUAAAAAGAUUUGUAGAUAGAAUAAGGAUCAUAUCUGAGAAAUCUGAAAUAGCUAUACAAAUCAUCAAUUGCAUUUUGAAUAGGUGUUCCAGAUAAGCACCACCUUCUUUUGGUACGAAGACUGCAGCAGGCUCUAGCAACUUGAGUACGAUGAUUUUUAAUUGUUUGGCCUUCAUCUAGUAUCACCCUAAACCAAGCAACGCUAGCAAGUGGACCACAAUCAUAAUCAACAGAGGAACUAUCUAUUCCCUUCCUACCCUUCUUUCUUUUCUUACUAACAUUAGUCGUCUUCUUCUUCUUCUUAUUAAUUGAAAAUUCAGAAGAUAAUCCAUACUUCUCCCCAUCCUUUUCAUCAACCUCAUCCUCAUCAACUAGAGGUUGCUUUGGAACUUCGUUAGUCACAAUAGAAUAUGUUGUCAGAAUGACAUCAUACUUAGCCAAUUCAACAGGAUCCUUUGUCCGACUACCUCCAUGGUAAACAAGAAAAGUAAGCUUAGCUUCAUCUGCAACUUUAUCAUCCAAUUCCCUUGCCCAUUGCCGAAGAAUACUCGCUGGACACACAACCAGAGUACCAGCAGCUGGUCUCUUUCUCUUAAAUGGCCGGGUAGAAGUACUUACUUCUGGAAUUGAUUUGAUAUCAUCAGAUUCCCCAGUCUGCUUGACUUCAACCAAACCAGGACGGCUAUUCUCAUCAUCGUCAUCUAAAUUCAAUGCUUCAGGUUUGUGAUUAGAUUGAUCUUCUGAUUUUGAUUUUGACUCCAAAGACUUUUGCAUUUGUAUGAGGGCAAUCAUUGAGACAGUUUUACCAAGACCCUGAUCAUCAGCUAGAAUUCCACCUAGACAAUGCAAGCUUCUUGUUUCCUUCUGAAGCAUCCAAGCCAAUGCAAUUUUCUGAUGUCUUAGAAGAGGCACAGACAACAGACCAUCAGGUGGAGUAGCUUCAGUUUUUGGCUGAUUGAGAUCCUCCAGUGCAGCUUGAUAAAUCAGUCUCUCAUCAUUCCCUGUAACACUUUCUUCGCCAACCAUGGGACGAUAAGCAGGGUCACUUGAACCAAACUGACCCGAGGAAAUGGACUUUCCAUGCAUCAAGGAUGGAGGCAGUGUCCUACUUCCAUUGUUUUCAUACAUCACAACAUCCUCAUAAUUGCCCCUUCCAUAAUGGUCCCUCAUAUA
This 4315-nucleotide unclassified non-coding RNA is filed under the name Hevea brasiliensis (rubber tree). The record is from RNAcentral. Lineage: Eukaryota; Viridiplantae; Streptophyta; Magnoliopsida; Malpighiales; Euphorbiaceae.